GUGAGAGGUUCCAGACUGAUGGCCCUAUAGAUUGAGCAGGCAUAGACAGUGCAAGCUUUCUCACACUGCCCUGCCAACAUGCUUCUGCCCUGACCUGGAGUUAUCAGGUUCCCUGCCUACUCAGUCUUUGGUCUUG
Molecule: small RNA, 136 nt
Filed under: Gopherus agassizii (Agassiz's desert tortoise)
Lineage: Eukaryota; Metazoa; Chordata; Testudines; Testudinidae
Description: TUC338 (ENSGAGG00000000450.1)
Source: RNAcentral